AGGGUAUUAGUUAAAUUAAUAACAAUUAUAUUGCAAAUAAUAAUUAUUUAAAAUAAAUAUAUCUUU
RNAcentral lists this transfer RNA (66 nucleotides) under Parapolybia nodosa. RNAcentral's name for it is "tRNA-Ala". The record is from RNAcentral. Lineage: Eukaryota; Metazoa; Arthropoda; Insecta; Hymenoptera; Vespidae.